Molecule: ribosomal RNA, 330 nt
Filed under: uncultured Spirochaetota bacterium
Lineage: Bacteria; Pseudomonadati; Spirochaetota
Description: bacterial SSU rRNA
Rfam family: Bacterial small subunit ribosomal RNA
Source: RNAcentral
AACGAACGCUGGCGGCGCGUUUUAAGCAUGCAAGUCGAACGGCAAGCACUGUAGCAAUAUGGUGCUGAGAGUGGCGAACGGGUGAGUAACACGUAGGUGAUCUACCCUUGGAUGGGGGAUAGUCCGUGGAAACACGGGGUAAUACCGCAUGAGGCCUUGUGGAUAGAGCCAUGAGGUGAAAGGUGCAAUUGCACCGUCUGGGGAUGAGCCUGCGCUCCAUUAGGUAGUUGGCGGGGUAAGAGCCCACCAAGCCUACGAUGGAUAGCCGGCCUGAGAGGGUGUACGGCCACACUGGAACUGAGACACGGUCCAGACUCCUACGGGUGGCAG